Peromyscus eremicus (cactus mouse) is the source of this 1103-nucleotide long non-coding RNA. RefSeq lists it as uncharacterized. The transcript has 3 exons. The record is from RefSeq and is a predicted model, not a curated record. Lineage: Eukaryota; Metazoa; Chordata; Mammalia; Rodentia; Cricetidae.
CAGUAACUGACAGAAGCAGAUGCAGAGUUCCACAACCAAGCACCAGGCUCAGCUCUGGGAGUCCAGUCAAAGAGAGGGAAAAAGGUCACGGGAUCUGAAGUCAGUGUGAAGAAACUGCUCACUUAGAACGAACUCCAAAGAUAAUGUCCUGUCACAAUUAUUGGUAAAUGAAAUGGAUUCAGCAUGCAGAGUUAUUGUUUUUUUCCUCAUCCAUUAUUCUUUUCAAUUUAUUUUUUCCUUCAAUUUUUUCCAUUCAUAAUUUAAAAUAUUAAUAACAUGACACAUAGCAGAUUUCAGAUGCAUUAUAAACUAGCUACAGUAAGUGUAUCAGUAAAAGUAUCACUUAUAAAUUCAUCAAGAUGGAAUGCUCAGAAACAUGUCUACCAUUGGUCAGAAGCGACUUUCUUCUCUAUUCUGCUGCUGAUAAUGAUCUGGUUUGAAGCAAUUUUGAUCCAAGAGGCACAUUCUAUGAAGAAGAGUCUUCCCUGGCUGCCAACUGCAUUUUUAUAUGGCCACAGUUAACAAAAAAAUACUAAUCUUCUUAAAGCAUCUGGAUGUGAAUGUUUCAUGAAAAGUGUUAUUCAGAUAUAAAUGGAUCCCAUUCUGUGCUUUAAAUGGAGUAUGCAUUCUCCUCCACUGGGUGGAGGAUUAUAUAUAAUAGCAAGAGUUGUGGUCCUUAAAAUAAAUUGAAUGCAUUGUUCCAGAUCUGCAUCCGAAUAAUACCAACCUUAUUAUCUUUAUUCAGACCAACCUAGCAAAUGAGGCGGUACAAAUACCUUAUAAACACUAGGCUGUUCUGAAAGCCUGAGACAUACUUGAUCGCUGAUUACACAGUCACUUAAGAGGGGGAAUCUGAGAACAAAACAAAAGUAAUUAAGUACAGGAAGCUUGUGUUUUAAUUAUAAGCAAAGAAAUUAAGUAAAACAAAGCAUUAUCACUUUGAAAAGAAGACUAUAACAGAAAGUGCCUCGAUUGUGACUCCAGAAAGCAUUACUUAGUAGUCAACUAACUCGCUUCAUUUAACAAUAGGAAAUCAAGACAGUGGGCCCAAAUGUGUUUUUCUCUCACUGCGGUGUAAUUUGAUUCUUUUGCUUUCCUUUGUG